Molecule: ribosomal RNA, 605 nt
Filed under: Perenniporia fraxinea
Lineage: Eukaryota; Fungi; Basidiomycota; Agaricomycetes; Polyporales; Polyporaceae
Description: eukaryotic LSU rRNA
Rfam family: Eukaryotic large subunit ribosomal RNA
Source: RNAcentral
GAAAAGAAACUAACAAGGAUUCCCCUAGUAACUGCGAGUGAAGCGGGAAAAGCUCAAAUUUAAAAUCUGGCGGUCUUCGGCCGUCCGAGUUGUAGUCUGGAGAAGUGCUUUCCGCGCUGGACCGUGUAUAAGUCUCUUGGAACAGAGCGUCAUAGAGGGUGAGAAUCCCGUCUUUGACACGGACUACCAGUGCUUUGUGAUGCRCUCUCAAAGAGUCGAGUUGUUUGGGAAUGCAGCUCAAAAUGGGUGGUGAAUUCCAUCUAAAGCUAAAUAUUGGCGAGAGACCGAUAGCGAACAAGUACCGUGAGGGAAAGAUGAAAAGCACUUUGGAAAGAGAGUUAAACAGUACGUGAAAUUGCUGAAAGGGAAACGCUUGAAGUCAGUCGCGUCGUCCAGAACUCAGCCUCGCUCUCGCUUGGUGCACUUUCUGGAUGACGGGCCAGCAUCGAUUUUGACCGUCGGAAAAGGGCUGGGGUAAUGUGGCACCUCCGGGUGUGUUAUAGACUSCAGUCGCAUACGACGGUCGGGAUCGAGGUUCGCAGCGCGCCGCAAGGCAGGGGUUCGCCCACUUUCGCGCUUAGGAUGCUGGCAUAAUGGCUUUAAAC